CCUGCGCGUUGGGGUUGCGCUGGGGUAGGUGUCCAGCGCUGUAGGAGGAACGCGUUGGGAGGAAAGCUUGCGGGCGUGCGGACUCGGCUUCGGGCCGAGAACUUUGAAGAAUUUUGCAGAACCCUGCUACCUACAGACUCUGCCAUGGACAUCAUGUAAGGAAACCCCGGAUGCAGUAACGGACAAAACAUGAAUCAAUUUGUGUUGUGGCAUUCAAAUCCUAACACACUGGGAGAGAUUGUGGAAGACCCAAGGAAACUUACAGAUUACAUUUGUUCUCUGUCCACAAGUGAUUCUGAAUGAAGAGGACGUAGGACCGGGCAGUGGUAGGAUGGACUGGCUGGAGAAGACAGGCCCUGCAGCUCUCAGUUUGGACUAGGCUGACUGGCCAGUAAGCCCCAGGACCCUCCUGUUUGCACUCUUGGUACUAACUAGGGUUACAGAGUUGAUGUCACACGAUGUCACUUGAGUUCAGGCCUUGAUGCACAUAGCAAGCACUUUACCAAUUGAGCUGUCUUCCCAGACUCAACAGUUUUGUUUGUUUUUAAAGAUUUAUGUACGUAUAUGAGUACAUCCUCACACCAGAAGAGAGCAUCAAACAGCUGUGACUGCCAUGCGUGUGUUGGGAAUUGAACUCAGGACCUUUGGAAGAGCACAUCAAGUACCGAGAUUUUGAAGAUCGUGGCCCAUCCUUGUGCAUUCAGGACUUGAGUGUGGAGAACUUGGAGCUGUAAAGCCUCUUCAGAAGCUUCAUGUGUCUGUCAUGCGCAUUGAAGCUCUGCAUUAAACCCUCUCACACAAGGAAAUGCUCAAAGGGACUGAAGCCCAUUAAUACAGGCAUUCACAGUUAAGAGAUUACCUCAAAUCUGAAAUAAGGCUUUGGACUUUGAACAGUGUUGGAAUUGUUGGAGAACAUGGGGUCUUCUGAAGUUGUCCUGGACAUGUUUGCAUUAUAAGAUGGCAAUGAAGGCUUCCAGGAAAACUCAGAAAGUAUUGCAGUAACUUUGACCUGUGUUCAAUCCCCAAAGCCAAAGUGUGGAAGGAGAGAGCCAAUUCCUGCAACUUCUUCUGACUUCUAUAGUAUUUACAUAUGUCGGGUCACAUGCAUCAGUAUGCACACACACACAGAGAGAGAGAGAGACAGAGAGAGAGAAGUAGAUGUAAUAAAAACAUUUAAACACAUGGUCAUAAAAUUCUGGAAAGAAGGGUUGAAAGGCCCAUGGCUUUAAAUUGUUGUUUUCAGCUGUCAGGUUGUAAAGGAUGGAGUUGUGGUUAGUGUUGAUUUUUACCUUUAUAGCAUCUAGAACCUCCUGAGAAACAAAGCUCUGGGCACACCUGUCAGGGGUCAUCUUGAUGGAGUUAUUUGAGAUAGGAAGACCUACUAUGUGUAGCUCCAUGCCAUAGGCUCACCUCCUGGACUUCAUGAAAGAAGCAAGCAGGCAGAGCCAGCAUGCCCCACCCCGUUCCCCCUGGCUGUGACGCAGUGUGACCAGCUGCUUCAGGCUCCUGAUACCAUGACUACCUUGGCACUGUGGGCUGCACUCUGGAACUGUGAGCCAAAAUAAACUCCUUUCUUAAGUUCUUUUAUCAGGGUUUCUAUCGCAGCAACAGGACAAGGAAGUAGGACAAUGGCCCAGGAACACUUUUCUCUAGAAAUGCGAACGAUUCUUCUAAAGCUUAGAGCCUCUGUGUUGGAGAUUCCUUGCGGAUAACGUGCUCUGCUCUCAGAUGACUGCACACUAACUGCUUAUCUUCUGGUCCCCUGGUCUGUGAGUGGGGCUCUCUCCAACAGUCUUACUUUAGCUUAUUUUACUCUGUUCCCUUUCUCUGCUCUGCUCCCCAUGUGUUUACCUUAGAGUGAUGUCCUCUGUGAAGUAUUUCCCCAGGUGGCACCAGAGACACUCAGAACAUGUUUAUUAAAUGUGUGUAUUUAGCCUGUACAAAGAGAUUUGUAUAGAUCCGUGACCCAAACUGAGCUUAUAUUUAAAAAUUACUUUAAAGAAUGAAUUUAAUAUUCUGCUUUGUUCUAAAACACUUGAAAUAGCUGUAGUACUAUCUAUACCAUACUAUAUGACAGCAGCUAUCGUGUUGGGAAGACAUAUGCAGAGAACAAAAACAAGAGUGUAGUUGUCAUUUUAAACUGGGUAAUGUUUACAGGCAGAAAGUCCUGUACAGUGUCAAUGGGUAGGUUGUGCAUUGGAGUCACUGAAAGUUGUCUUGCUCAGAUAUGACCGCAGUGGACUCGUGACUCUUGUUCUGUGGAACCCUGAAAACCUAUUUGCCUAGAAGGAAGCUUGAAAUUGCUAUUCUAGAAAAACCUGUUAAACCCCUGUGGAUCUGUUCAUUGUUACAGUUUGCUCACUCAGAGCUGGCAGUCACCAGAACCAGCCACUGCCGAUGUUAAUGUUCGAACAUUCCCAGAGUUGAUGCAAACUUGGUGACCGGAUAUUUUUGAAAGUCAUUUGUUAAAGAUAUUAACCAGUAUGUGGAUUACUUCAGGUCCUCCUGUUCCAGCUAUGAGGAAGACAAGAGUGCAGGAAUUCUGCCUGCUUGCUGCCUGCCUGCUUGCUGCUGCCUCCCUGCCUGCCUGCCUCCCUGCCUGUCUGUCUGCCUCCCUGCCUGCUGCCUGCCUGCCUACCUGCCUCCCUGCCUCCUGCCUGUCUGCCUCCCUGCCUGCUGCCUGCCUGCCUACCUGCCUCCCUGCCUGCCUGCCUGCCUGCCUCACUGCCUAUCUGCCUGCCUCCUUGCCUGCUGCCUGCCUGCCUGCCUGCUACCUUUCAAGGAGGAUCAUUGGCAGCUUAUGUGCAGGUUCUUACAUGUUAAGAAGCAACUGGGAAGGAGGAUGAGAGAGGUAAAUUGGGUUUCCAGAACUCUUUGACUAAUUUACAUUCAGAGUGGUCUUGUGAAUACAGAGUUCCACAGGCCACCACAUGUGCAGCAUAUGUCUGUUCAUGGUAAGUACACUUCCCCAAUACUCCUUUGUCCUUUUUGCUAUUUUAAACUGAGUGUAAUAAGGUGGGAGCCAGAAAUAGGGACAAAGGACUGCAGACCAAAUUUCCUAGACAGAGCUGGUGUUUAUAGGAAAAGACGGUACUGACAGCGCCCACAUUGCCACAGUACCGAAUAUCGAGUGUAGGCCUGGGGGGUUAACAGAAAACAUAGAUACAGGUCAUUCUGUAAGGAGAAUGCCACGGUUUUACUGAGGGUCCAGCAAUAUAUACUGAAGGCCAUGGAAGACAACAGGAAAAAACAAUUACAGCCAUAGGUCAAGCACCUGGGAAGUUCCUACCACACUGGGCAGGAAAGCAGGAAUCAAGCUAAGCUGCAGGAUGUUUGCUGUCAGGAAACCUGUGCAAACAGCUCAGCUGGGGGCACUGAGCUAAGCUCACUGGUUCCCAACAGAUCCCCCUUUUUAAUUUUUUUAAGAAGGAAUAGUGUCUGUCUUAGGACACCUUCCGUCCAACUCCCAUUACCCAUCUCUGGGUAUCUCUGCCAGUCCCAGAGCCCCUAUCUUAGGUUGGUGUGGACUGGAAAGGAGUUGCCUGUCAUAGACUAACUAUUCUUGAUACAGGCUGAGCCAAAUUUGAGCAGAUGUAUUAUCCUGUGCCAAAGACAUAAGCACUUGUUCAGUUACUGCUCUGGACUGGUUCUGUUGUUUGCACAUACGGUUUAGAAGGAACAAUCUCAAUGCAGCAGCUCCACAAGCCAAAAGCCCCAGUGCCAUGGACCCAGAUUUUUUUUAAUCAGGGGUGGCGAUAAUGCCAAAGUCUCUCUGAUGGUGAUACAAGGUGACAGGGAAUCUCCCUUCAUUAUUUAGAGGCUUAGGUACAAUUCCAGGAGUUCUCACAACCACAGCAGCAUCUUCAUACUCUCAGUAGUUUGUCAAUACACACAAUCUGCUAGAACAAUUCAAUUUCUUUUUGUCUUCUUCUUGUUUAUUAGAGACUUUUCAAACUACAGAAAAGAAUGGGACUAAAACACAUGGUUUAGUAUUCAAGGAAACAUUGCAAAGCACAAGACAGGAACCAAGAAAUGAAGUUCUAACUAUUACUAUUUUUAAUAAAACAUAAACUAUUCUCUAAUACAA
Long non-coding RNA from Apodemus sylvaticus (European woodmouse), 4087 nucleotides. RefSeq lists it as uncharacterized. Lineage: Eukaryota; Metazoa; Chordata; Mammalia; Rodentia; Muridae. The transcript has 6 exons. The record is from RefSeq and is a predicted model, not a curated record.